This 433-nucleotide ribosomal RNA is filed under the name uncultured bacterium. Its description in RNAcentral is "partial 16S ribosomal RNA". It matches the Rfam family "Bacterial small subunit ribosomal RNA", at positions 29 to 507 of the family's 1533-position model. The record is from RNAcentral.
AACGAACGCUGGCGGCAUGCCUAACACAUGCAAGUCGAACGAGACCUUCGGGUCUAGUGGCGCACGGGUGCGUAACGCGUUGGAACCUGCCCUUAGGUUCGGAAUAACUCCCCGAAAGGGGUGCUAAUACCGGUUAAUGUCUUCGGACCAAAGAUUUAUCGCCUUUGGUGGGGCCCGCGUUUGAUUAGCUAGUUGGUAGGGUAAAAGCCUACCAAGGCGACGAUCCAUAGCUGGUCUGAGAGGAUGAUCAGCCACACUGGGACUGAGACACGGCCCAGACUACUACGGGAGGCAGCAGUGGGGAAUAUUGGAAAAUGGGCGAAAGCAUGAUCCAGCAAUGACGCGUGAGUGAUGAAGGCCUUAGGGUUGUAAAGCUCUUUUACCCGGGAUGAUAAUGACAGUACCGGGAGAAUAAGCUCCGGCUAACUCCGUG